AACGAACGCUGGCGGCAUGCCUAACACAUGCAAGUCGAACGGGAUCCUAGCUUGCUAGGUGAGAGUGGCGGACGGGUGAGUAACACGUGGGAAUCUGCCUUUUUGGUUCGGGAUAACCGCGGGAAACUGCGGCUAAUACCGAAUGCCCUCGAGAGAGGAAAGAUUUAUCGCCAGAAGAGGAGCCCGCGUCCGAUUAGGUAGUUGGUGGGGUAAAGGCCUACCAAGCCGACGAUCGGUAGCUGGUCUGGAGAGGAUGAUCAGCCACACUGGGACUGAGAUACGGCCCAGACUCCUACGGGAGGCAGCAGUGGGGAAUA
RNAcentral lists this ribosomal RNA (317 nucleotides) under uncultured bacterium. RNAcentral describes it as "bacterial SSU rRNA". It matches the Rfam family "Bacterial small subunit ribosomal RNA", at positions 29 to 363 of the family's 1533-position model. The record is from RNAcentral.